AGGGGAUCAGUGGCGAACGGGUGAGUAACACGUGAGUAACCUGCCCCGGACUCUGGAAUAAGCGCUGGAAACGGCGUCUAAUACCGGAUACGAGACGCAACCGCAUGGUUAGCGUCUGGAAAGUUUUUCGGUCUGGGAUGGACUCGCGGCCUAUCAGCUUGUUGGUGAGGUAAUGGCUCACCAAGGCGACGACGGGUAGCCGGCCUGAGAGGGCGACCGGCCACACUGGGACUGAGACACGGCCCAGACUCCUACGGGAGGCAGCAGUGGGGAAUAUUGCACAAUGGGCGAAAGCCUGAUGCAGCGACGCCGCGUGAGGGAUGACGGCCUUCGGGUUGUAAACCUCUUUCAGCAGGGAAGAAGCGAAAGUGACGGUACCUGCAGAAGAAGCACCGGCUAACUACGUGCCAGCAGCCGCGGUAAUACGUAGGGUGCGAGCGUUGUCCGGAAUUAUUGGGCGUAAAGAGCUUGUAGGCGGUUUGUCGCGUCUGCUGUGAAAAUCCGGGGCUCAACCCCGGACUUGCAGUGGGUACGGGCAGACUAGAGUGUGGUAGGGGAGACUGGAAUUCCUGGUGUAGCGGUGAAAUGCGCAGAUAUCAGGAGGAACACCGAUGGCGAAGGCAGGUCUCUGGGCCACUACUGACGCUGAGAAGCGAAAGCAUGGGGAGCGAACAGGAUUAGAUACCCUG
RNAcentral lists this ribosomal RNA (689 nucleotides) under Janibacter sp. KLBMP 1260. RNAcentral describes it as "bacterial SSU rRNA". It matches the Rfam family "Bacterial small subunit ribosomal RNA", at positions 86 to 789 of the family's 1533-position model. Lineage: Bacteria; Bacillati; Actinomycetota; Actinomycetes; Micrococcales; Intrasporangiaceae. The record is from RNAcentral.